RNAcentral lists this ribosomal RNA (424 nucleotides) under uncultured bacterium. RNAcentral describes it as "bacterial SSU rRNA". It matches the Rfam family "Bacterial small subunit ribosomal RNA", at positions 8 to 429 of the family's 1533-position model. The record is from RNAcentral.
AGAGUUUGAUCCUGGCUCAGAACGAACGUUGGCGGCGUGGAUUGGGCAUGCAAGUCGAACGAAUCCCUUGGGGCUUGCUCCAAGGGGGAAGUGGCGAAAGGGGCAGUAAGGCAUGGGUAACCUACCCUGGGGACGAGGAUAGCCUUCCUAACGGAAGGGUAAUACUUGGCGAUCUGGCGACGAGGCAUCUCGUUGCCAGGAAAUGAAUUUCGCCUCGGGAGGGGCUCAUGUAGUAUUAGCUGGUUGGUGGGGUAACGGCCUACCAAGGCGAAGAUGCUUAGCGGGUGUGAGAGCACGACCCGCGCCACUGGCACUGAGACACUGGCCAGACUCCUACGGGAGGCUGCAGUCGAGGAUCUUCGGCAAUGGGCGCAAGCCUGACCGAGCGACGCCGCGUGUGCGAUGAAGGCCUUCGGGUUGUAAA